GAUGAGAACGUAGCGAAAUGCGAUAAGUAAUGUGAAUUGCAGAAUUCAGUGAAUCAUCGAAUCUUUGAACGCACAUUGCGCCCGCCAGUAUUCUGGCGGGCAUGCCUGUUCGAGCGUCAUUUCAACCAUCAAGCCCCCGGCUUGUGUUGGGGACCUGCGGCUGCCGCAGGCCCUGAAAACCAGUGGCGGGCUCGCUAGUCACUCCGAGCGUAGUAAUACAUCUCGCUCAGGGCGUGCUGCGGGUUCCGGCCGUUAAAAAAGCCUUAUUUACCCAAGGUUGACCUCGGAUCAGGUAGGAAGACCCGCUGAACUUAAGCAUAUCAAUAAGCGGAGGA
RNAcentral lists this unclassified non-coding RNA (335 nucleotides) under soil metagenome. RNAcentral describes it as "partial contains 5.8S ribosomal RNA, internal transcribed spacer 2, and large subunit ribosomal RNA". The stretch from base 5 to 119 matches the Rfam family "5.8S ribosomal RNA", at positions 40 to 154 of the family's 154-position model. The record is from RNAcentral.